UACGUAGGGGGCAAGCGUUGUCCGGAUUUAUUGGGCGUAAAGCGCGUGUAGGCGGCUAGGUAGGUCCGCUGUGAAAACUUGAGGCUCAACCUCAAGAGGUCGGUGGAAACCAUCUAGCUAGAGUCCGGAAGAGGAGAGUGGAAUUCCUGGUGUAGCGGUGAAAUGCGCAGAUAUCAGGAAGAACACCUAUGGCGAAGGCAGCUCUCUGGGACGGUACUGACGCUGAGACGCGAAAGCGUGGGGAGCGAACAGG
Molecule: ribosomal RNA, 253 nt
Filed under: uncultured bacterium
Lineage: Bacteria
Description: partial 16S ribosomal RNA
Rfam family: Bacterial small subunit ribosomal RNA
Source: RNAcentral